Molecule: long non-coding RNA, 428 nt
Organism: Cryptomeria japonica (Japanese cedar)
Lineage: Eukaryota; Viridiplantae; Streptophyta; Pinopsida; Cupressales; Cupressaceae
Exons: 3
Source: RefSeq, a predicted model, not a curated record
CCUUUUCAUUUAUUAUCAUGCAUUUCAGUUGAAGUGAUUAUCAUGAAGGCUCUAUGUUCAUCCAUGCAUUUUAUGUGUAGACUAACAAUUCUUAAAAAUAUAGGUUCAUGCUAGAUCAUUCGUUGUUGACAAGACCCUCUCUUGGUGAUGAGAAAUGUAGUGAGAAGGGCUUUAAUCAACAUGCGUCUUUCUUCAAAGUUAUGCUUGUAUACUUUGCAGAGAAACUGGCAUUGUUGUACGUAAGUUUUUCUCAUAGGACAUGAGGAUGUCUAAUGCAGAUGAAGUGGGAUGUUUUAUUUGUAUAUGGAUGUGAAUUGAUGUAACACUGUUAUGAUGAUAUACAAUGUCCAUGAGCAAAUUGGUUUAGUUAUAUUGAUGAUAAUGUCCAUGUAUCUGUACAUGAGUACAUUGGUGUAGUUGUAUUGAUA